GUAGAGUAGGAAACAUGCGUGAAGUGCCGCGCGUAUGGGAGGUUGACCGCGGACGAAGGCCGUUAUCCGGCCGCGAUGUGUUUCCGCAUCCGCUGC
RNAcentral lists this non-coding RNA (96 nucleotides) under bovine gut metagenome. RNAcentral describes it as "THF riboswitch". It matches the Rfam family "THF (Tetrahydrofolate) riboswitch aptamer". From Rfam's summary of the family: THF riboswitch presents a pseudoknot that joins P1-P2 and the loop of P3 and two THF binding. The record is from RNAcentral.